GAUGAACGCUGGCGGCGUGCCUAAUACAUGCAAGUAGAACGCUGAAGGAGGAGCUUGCUCUUCUGGAAGAGUUGCGAACGGGUGAGUAACGCGUAGGUAACCUGCCUCUUAGCGGGGGAUAACUAUUGGAAACGAUAGCUAAUACCGCAUAAAAGUCGACAUUGCAUGAUGUUGACUUGAAAGGUGCAAUUGCAUCACUAAGAGAUGGACCUGCGUUGUAUUAGCUAGUUGGUGGGGUAACGGCUCACCAAGGCGACGAUACAUAGCCGACCUGAGAGGGUGAUCGGCCACACUGGGACUGAGACACGGCCCAGACUCCUACGGGAGGCAGCAGUAGGGAAUCUUCGGCAAUGGACGGAAGUCUGACCGAGCAACGCCGCGUGAGUGAAGAAGGUUUUCGGAUCGUAAAGCUCUGUUGUAAGAGAAGAACGAGUGUGAGAGUGGAAAGUUCACACUGUGACGGUAUCU
Molecule: ribosomal RNA, 468 nt
Filed under: Streptococcus sp. oral taxon 057
Lineage: Bacteria; Bacillati; Bacillota; Bacilli; Lactobacillales; Streptococcaceae
Description: bacterial SSU rRNA
Rfam family: Bacterial small subunit ribosomal RNA
Source: RNAcentral